Molecule: non-coding RNA, 88 nt
Filed under: uncultured Clostridium sp.
Lineage: Bacteria; Bacillati; Bacillota; Clostridia; Eubacteriales; Clostridiaceae
Description: Purine riboswitch
Rfam family: Purine riboswitch aptamer
About the family: Riboswitches are metabolite binding domains within certain messenger RNAs that serve as precision sensors for their corresponding targets. Allosteric rearrangement of mRNA structure is mediated by ligand binding, and this results in modulation of gene expression. A class of riboswitches that selectively recognises guanine and becomes saturated at concentrations as low as 5 nM.
Source: RNAcentral
AAAUAAAAACGAAAACUUUGUAUAAUCCCUAUUAUAAGGUUAGGGAGUUUCUACCAAGAGCCGUAAAUUCUUGAUUACAAAGACAAUA